ACAGAUGUUUAAUUGAAUAGUCGCCUUUUAAUUUGGGCUGAAAUUAGUUGUUUUAAGUGUUCUUUGGAGAAUAAAAUGAUUAUAGAACAUACAGCUUGAAUGGCUUCGGAAACAACACCUGUGAAGAUGUAAAAUUGUAAAUACAAGUGUGCAUAUAUAAUAAUUCUGAUUGGAUACUGGGCCAGCUUAUUAAAUAAAUUUUAAUAGGUUUACCCAAACUAUCAGCUUCAAUGAAAGGAAAUUGGUUAGGCUGGUCAAGAAUCACCCAGAAAGCUCAGAGAGAUGCUGGGACACCAUUGUCAAACAAACAAUGGUCGCUCCACUGUCACGACCUUUAACCUCGACGGAAAUGUGAACACAAGGAGAGAAGAGUCAAAGAUUUAACUGUGGAGGGGGAGCAUGUUUAGAGGAGACACGGUGAGGCUUAAAAACCCAAGAACACAGAACAAACUGUCGAGCACGGUGGUGGCAGCAUUAUGCUGAUGUCUGUUUCAUUGCCGUUUAUGCUGGUGCUGCAUAAAAUGGGUACAAAAAAGAAGACGGCUGACUAGCUACAAAUUCUUCAGCUUCGUCUCAGAUCAACAGUAGGUUCAAACUUGGACACAACUGAGUGUUUUUAAACAGGACAGCGAUUCAAAACGCAGAUAAAAAAACUGGUUCUGGAGCUGAUAAAGCGGGCUGACAUCAAGCUUCUGGAAUCUGAAGCUUGAUUCAGAUUCCAGAUCUGAACCCUACUGAAGAUGUGAAAACUCUGCUCAAAGAAUCUGAGCCGUCCCGAAACAAAUUUGAGAAGACUGGCAAAAACGUCCAGGCAGAAUUAUUGUCUUUAUGGCUUCAAAACUUGUAGUUUCUCUGCAUCACCCAAAGAGAAACGUAUGCAAAUAUUACUGUGUGUUUAUAUUUGAGGGUUUACAUGUAAUUUUUGACGCUGUGUGGACUACAAAAAAAAAUAAAGCCGCAAUCAAUUCACAUUGGUGCUCCCAAUUCUUGCUUCUAAAACUCAUUGCAACUGUAUGGUAUAUAAUCACUGCAGAAAAAAAAGACAG
This is a long non-coding RNA of Poecilia latipinna (sailfin molly), 1046 nucleotides long. RefSeq lists it as uncharacterized. NCBI's taxonomy places the organism in Eukaryota, Metazoa, Chordata, Actinopteri, Cyprinodontiformes, Poeciliidae. The record is from RefSeq and is a predicted model, not a curated record. The transcript has 3 exons.